AUAUUUAUGAAUUUUUAAAGUUUAAAUUUGACUACAAAUUAUAUUUCAAAAAUAAUGAAUUAAAAUUUUUUUGUUUGGUGGUAAAAGUGCUCUUUAUCUAAUUUUAUGUUGCUUUAUAAUUUUUCCUUUUCAGAGUCAUUUUAUGAGUUUUUUUAGAAAAAUGUAAUUUCAUUAUUUUAAUACAUAGAUACAAACAUAAUACAACAUAAGUAUA
RNAcentral lists this unclassified non-coding RNA (214 nucleotides) under Hevea brasiliensis (rubber tree). The record is from RNAcentral. Lineage: Eukaryota; Viridiplantae; Streptophyta; Magnoliopsida; Malpighiales; Euphorbiaceae.